UACGGAGGAUCCAAGCGUUAUCCGGAAUCAUUGGGUUUAAAGGGUCCGUAGGCGGUUUGGUAAGUCAGUGGUGAAAGCCCAUCGCUCAACGGUGGAACGGCCAUUGAUACUGCCAGACUUGAAUUACUGGGAAGUAACUAGAAUAUGUAGUGUAGCGGUGAAAUGCUUAGAGAUUACAUGGAAUACCAAUUGCGAAGGCAGGUUACUACCAGUGGAUUGACGCUGAUGGACGAAAGCGUGGGUAGCGAACAGGAUUAGAUACCCUGGUAGUCCACGCCGUAAACGAUGGAUACUAGCUGUUGGAGGUAACUUCAGUGGCUAAGCGAAAGUGAUAAGUAUCCCACCUGGGGAGUACGAACGCAAGUUUGAA
This 370-nucleotide ribosomal RNA is filed under the name uncultured bacterium. Its description in RNAcentral is "bacterial SSU rRNA". It matches the Rfam family "Bacterial small subunit ribosomal RNA", at positions 524 to 898 of the family's 1533-position model. The record is from RNAcentral.